RNAcentral lists this transfer RNA (75 nucleotides) under Tistrella mobilis. RNAcentral's name for it is "tRNA-Gly". It matches the Rfam family "tRNA". From Rfam's summary of the family: Transfer RNA (tRNA) molecules are approximately 80 nucleotides in length. Their secondary structure includes four short double-helical elements and three loops (D, anti-codon, and T loops). The record is from RNAcentral. Lineage: Bacteria; Pseudomonadati; Pseudomonadota; Alphaproteobacteria; Geminicoccales; Geminicoccaceae.
GCGGGAGUAGCUCAGGGGUAGAGCACAACCUUGCCAAGGUUGGGGUCGAGGGUUCGAAUCCCUUCGCCCGCUCCA